Saccostrea cuccullata (small rock oyster) is the source of this 3091-nucleotide RNA transcript. It is a transcript of the gene named probable serine/threonine-protein kinase pats1, with no coding region annotated. The record is from RefSeq and is a predicted model, not a curated record. The transcript is spliced from 5 exons. Lineage: Eukaryota; Metazoa; Mollusca; Bivalvia; Ostreida; Ostreidae.
CACUUCCACGGUUAUAGUCCAAGCCGAAUUACGAAGUACGCCCAGUACCGUCCACCAUUCUAUCGUCCCGAAUCUGCUGAAUCUGCGUCCUGGCAGACGAUCGCGUGCGCGCGUGCAACUGUUCCUCGUAGUUCCUGUAAUGGCGACAUCUGAGAACUUCCGAAUGGGUCCGAGUGACGUAACACAAUAAAAAUAAUAACUACCGUGAUGCAAUAUCUAUAAAUAAUUUAAGAGUGUCGUAACAAACUCAACUUGUACAACUGAAUAAAGUUAAUAGACAAUUUUACACAAUAUUUACUACAUAAUGUCAUUGCAUACUUUCUUCUUUAUGAUAAGAUUGGACAGAUAUUUGGUUUUUCAAAGUAAAACAAAGAAUUUAGCAUCAUACUCAAUUACUCAUAUGGAACUCACCUAGGGAUAUUAUUUUGUGAGCUCAAUACUCUCAGUACCUCUAGAUUUUAUUUUGUGCCUUGCAGAUUUAUAUUAAGUAGAAUAAAAGUAUAUUUGCUCACAGAACAGUGUCAACAAAAUGAGACGGUGUUAAAUGUGUAUUCAUUUUUAUUUUCAGCAAAUUGUUUAAGCAAACAACAACGCUUUAAACUUCAACUUGAUAAAAAAGAUCUUCACCAGAGUGUUCCUGAAUCUCAUUCAAAAAAUGCAGCUGAUGUUGGGGAAAUGCAGGAAAAGAUGGAACCAAAAGAUGAUGAGGGCAGUACGACUGCAUCAUCAAGCAGUGGACAGAUAUCACAUGAUGAUACCAACAUUAAAACAACCUCAUCGCAUGAACUACAGGGGGCCACAUCACCAGAAAAUGUAGCAGACGUUAUGAAUGAAAGAAAAGAUUUUCGUCAUGUUCAAGAAAUUUUUGGAAAUUUACAGAUAGGUGCAGAAAAUAUUUCAGAAGAUCCAGAUAAAAAAAUAACCAUGACUGACUUUGCAGGACAGUGUUCAUAUUAUGCCUCACACCAGAUUUUUCUGAGUCCUCGAGCGUUCUUCAUUCUGGUGCUGAAUAUGGAGAAGAAUUUUGAUGAUAAGGUUGGAGAAGACGUGUGUUGUCAGGAAGGCUCCGUUUAUGGGGGAUGGACACACAGAGAUUAUCUAGAAUUCUGGAUGAAGUCCAUUCAUCAAUAUGGCAAUGAUAAUGCUCCCGUCAUCCUGGUUGGUACACAUAGUGAGAACAAAACAGAAAAGGAAAAAGAAUCGUUUUUCCGAGAAGUUUGGAAGACUCUUGACAUGAAGAAGAAGUCUCUGCAAAGACAUAUUGAUGUGAAACAUCGAUUUGCGGUUGGAUUCCAUGACAAUGAAAGCAUAGAAAAACUCAAGCUGUCCAUUGCUUAUGUCGUAGGCAAGCUUGAUCACUGGGGUGAAGAGCUUCCACAGUCAUGGGCUAUGUUUGAAACAUUCUUUCAGGAAAAGAAAAUUCGCAAGAUUUUGAGUAGGGUUGAACUUCAGUCUUUCAAUAAAACAUUGCCAGAGGGAAUAAAGCUCCAUAAUAUUGAAGAUAUGGAUGCCAUGCUGCAGUUCUUCCAUGACGUCAGAGAAAUUAUACACUUCAAUCAACAAUUCCUCAAUGAAGUUAUUAUUUUCGAUGUUCAGUGGUUUGCAGAUGCAUUUAGAAAUGUCAUAACAGAUAAAAACCAUGCACAAGAAGAUUUAUUUGAAUUUGCCUCAGAAUGGAACAAAUUCAAUGAAACUGGAGAAUUAGAUGAAGCACUGCUAUCUGCUAUAUGGAGAAUAAACAACAAUGGUUACAUCGAACAUAAAGAGGACAUUAUGAUGUACAUGGAGAAGUUAGGACUCUUAGCUAAAAUGAGCGACAAAAUAUGGUAUGUCCCGUGUAUGAACAAGAUGCAAUUUCCAGUAGACUGUUUUUCAUUAUACCCUGCCUCCUCCAUCCUCUGCUACACGUUUGAUUUUCUUCCUUUUGAAAUUUUCCAUCGCCUUGUAGCAAUGUGCAUGCAGAUUCUUUGGAGAUUUUUUCAGAUGAAGACAGAGGAUGCAUUUACCAGACUGCAGCUAUUUUUAUGUUUCAUGACCAGCACCAUAACGUCAUGCUUGGAAUGACUCAAACAGAAAUUCAGUUGCAAGUGUUUGUUGUGAAGGGAGAAGUUGAUGUUUUAACCUGUCACCAGAUUAGAGAACACAUUGAGUGUAUAUUAGAUAACCUUUCCAAUACAUUCCAGAAAAAAUAGAAAUUUCAGGUUGGGUUCAUAUACAAGCCUUCUGGGUUUUGUGACAGGAAAGAAAGUGCUGUCAUAAAGGAAUCAAUGUUAACAAGAGCAAGUUUUCAAUGCCCUUCCUGUCCAGCAAACAAGAAGCAUCCUAUCAACACAAAACAUAUCAUAAAAUAUUGGAAACAGGUUAGCCUGUCUGAGAGUAGAACCAGUGAAGACACGGAAACAGGUCCCUCUGUAGAACUGGUUCUUAAUGCAGUUACAAGAAAAAUCCGAGGCAUAGGAAUCAGUCUUUUAGAGGGUCUAUUUGAAGUCAGUAUUGAUGUCUCCCCUACACUCAGUUUUGAGGAGAAGGUAUUCAGAAUCUUGUACCAAUGGAAAUCAAAAAAUGCACACCUUGAUCACUUGAGAGAAUUAGAGAGCAUUUUACAGAGAGAAGGCCAAGGACAAGCAGCGGAAUACGUUAGAACAUUUGAUAUUACAGACUUUACCUGUAUUGGCGUGAUUAGCCCUGAUCAGAAUGUUUCAACAACGGAAUUCAAAACAUUGUCCGAAUAUCUUUCAAAAGACUACACUCAUUUCGUCCGCUUUUUGGGGCUUGCUCAAAGAUAUAUCGAACAAAUGGAAGCAGAUGGUUUUAAGAUACAGGAUAAAAUAUAUAAAUCACUUAUAAAAAUACAGGAGGAAUGUCGUUACAUGCUUAGCCGACAGAAGAUUUGCAAUGCAUUGACAUUUAUAGACAGAAAGGUUGUGAUCAGUGAACUAGGAUGGACAUCACGAAAACGAAAACGAGAUGACUGAUCGAGAAAGUAAAAGUGUAUUUUGGUUUCUUUAAGCUGUGUACAUGUAUGUUACUGUCUUAUUAUUGAAAACUGAAUUGUCAAGAAUAUUUUAAUGAAUGACCUUGUAUAUUGACA